This 1097-nucleotide long non-coding RNA is filed under the name Oncorhynchus kisutch (coho salmon). RNAcentral's name for it is "lncRNA (ENSOKIG00005035591.1)". The record is from RNAcentral. Lineage: Eukaryota; Metazoa; Chordata; Actinopteri; Salmoniformes; Salmonidae.
GAAGUAAAAUUAUACUUUUCCACCCCUUCUCGUUAAGUCCAGUCAGAACCAAUAUGAAGCAGGCGCAGCCCGCCCUUGAUCUAGUUUCAAGCGUUUAUUUUAUGACUGCUAGCCUUUCACUGAUGCACAUGAUUCCGAAGAAGCGAUUGGUCGAGGGCGGUGUCUGUCAGACGGUAAGGGCGUAGCUCUGUAUUUCGUUCACUGUCAGAGCUCGAGGGACGAAACGAAGGGUUCGUUUCCGUUUGUAGGCUGCGGAAACCGAGUUUCACAGUGCUACACAAGCCGAACAGAGACCGAUUGGAGCUCGAUCCUACGACGGAGAGGAGGAAAGAGGACAGUAAUUGCGGAAGACCUUGUAAUCAAAAUACCGUCCAAAUUUACACUAAUAUUAUACUUUAAUAGCACUCAAACCCAGUGCCUGCGAAGAUGGGAGACAAGGCGGGGACCAGAGUCUUCAAGAAGUCCAGCCCCAACUGCAAGCUCACAGUAUACCUGGGGAAGAGAGACUUUGUGGAUCACCUAGACCAUGUAGAUCCAGUGGGUGAGUAGUAACACACUCUGGGGUGCCGGGGCCGUGGGCCCCUAUUAGGGAUGUGAUAACUACUAGACACACACACACCGUUGUUGAUGUAAUUUUGUUGUCUGAGUCUCCCUCUGGGUUGUUAUGACGAUAGAACACAGGACCACAUUGUCACAACAACCAAUGGCAGGAUAAUAUUUGUUAAUGACUGAGCCCUUACUGAUGGAAAUGUAGAACACAACUCAAUUCCUCCUCCACAGUAACUAAACACAACAGCCUCUGAAUACCCCAUAUGCUCAACAACAGAUCAAUAUUGUUGACAAGUUUAUAAUAGGCAAACUCAACCCUUAGUCUCGCUGCCAACAUUCCCUCCAGCAUUCCCACCACAUCCACAGACCCCUGUCCCCGAAUACUGUUCUUUCGGGUCUUCCAUAUCGCCCCUAACACAAAAUUAAGCAACACAACUACACUCUUUUGACUAAAACUGUACUUUGGCCCAAAUAUAUACAGUUGGGAAGAGAAAACCUCUCCCAACGCAGAGAACCAAUUAGUGAUCAGGUCAAUCAUUCCGACCAAC